This 109-nucleotide small nucleolar RNA is filed under the name Lachancea lanzarotensis. Lineage: Eukaryota; Fungi; Ascomycota; Saccharomycetes; Saccharomycetales; Saccharomycetaceae. The record is from RNAcentral.
CCUACAGUGAUUAAACAUCUUAUCAACCAAUUGUUCCGACUGAAUAGUUGUUAUUUACUACGUGUCGACAACCUCGCAUAUCGUUAAGUUUCAGCCUUGUAUGAGUUGG